Molecule: long non-coding RNA, 532 nt
Organism: Zalophus californianus (California sea lion)
Lineage: Eukaryota; Metazoa; Chordata; Mammalia; Carnivora; Otariidae
Exons: 3
Source: RefSeq, a predicted model, not a curated record
CAGAUGCCUGGGACAAAGGGAGCCUUAGGUCUGGGGGAGAGGAGGAUGUGUUCAUUGUGGGCCAUGUUGAGUUGAAGGUGCCUGGGUACACCAGCAGGGAGACGUACCAAGGGAAAGCUAGGGGAGCCAUUAACGCAGGGCAGAAGGUGGUCCAGACUCCAGAGACGAGAGGUUUCAGUACCUGAAAGUGUUGCCCAAAUCCAAGAGUCCCUGCUUCGCAAUGCAAGACCUGUGAAAGCCAAGCAUGCCGAUGGACAUGCAACUGCCUCAAACAUAUUCACGUACCUGUGACUCAUGGCUUUAACCAAGAUCGAUUACUUCACUUGUAAAGACAUACAACCCAUUGAUUUUGACUGUGGUCAGAGAAACCAGUCAUGAUGAAUGAAUCUGGCCAUAGCUCUUCUUAACAAUGUCACAGAUUAUCUUGUGAACCCUGGGGCCCAUUCACUUCCACUCGGGAGACGACUGGCAUCAGCAACGACAAGAACAUACCAUGAUUCUUGAGGUACCUCGUAAAGCGUGGAGGACUGUG